AACGAACGCUGGCGGCAGGCUUAACACAUGCAAGUCGAGCGCAUCCUUCGGGGUGAGCGGCAGACGGGUGAGUAACGCGUGGGAACGUACCCUUUGCUACGGAAUAGCUCCGGGAAACUGGAAUUAAUACCGUAUGUGCCCUUCGGGGGAAAGAUUUAUCGGCAAAGGAUCGGCCCGCGUUGGAUUAGCUAGUUGGUGGGGUAAAGGCCUACCAAGGCGACGAUCCAUAGCUGGUCUGAGAGGAUGUUCAGCCACAUUGGGACUGAGACACGGCCCAAACUCCUACGGGAGGCAGCAGUGGGGAAUAUUGGACAAUGGGCGCAAGCCUGAUCCAGCCAUGCCGCGUGAGUGAUGAAGGCCUUAGGGUUGUAAAGCUCUUUCAACGGUGAAGAUAAUGACGGUAACCGUAGAAGAAGCCCCGGCUAACUUCGUGCCAGCCGCCGCGGUAA
RNAcentral lists this ribosomal RNA (449 nucleotides) under uncultured bacterium. Its description in RNAcentral is "partial 16S ribosomal RNA". It matches the Rfam family "Bacterial small subunit ribosomal RNA", at positions 29 to 523 of the family's 1533-position model. The record is from RNAcentral.